GACGACGUAGCUCAGUGGAAGAGCACAGGCUCUGCCUUGAGGACGCUGGUUCAAAUCCAGCCGUCGCAUCU
Molecule: transfer RNA, 71 nt
Filed under: Phytophthora infestans (potato late blight agent)
Lineage: Eukaryota; Oomycota; Peronosporomycetes; Peronosporales; Peronosporaceae
Description: tRNA-Arg
Rfam family: tRNA
About the family: Transfer RNA (tRNA) molecules are approximately 80 nucleotides in length. Their secondary structure includes four short double-helical elements and three loops (D, anti-codon, and T loops). Further hydrogen bonds mediate the characteristic L-shaped molecular structure. tRNAs have two regions of fundamental functional importance: the anti-codon, which is responsible for specific mRNA codon recognition, and the 3' end, to which the tRNAs corresponding amino acid is attached (by aminoacyl-tRNA synthetases). tRNAs cope with the degeneracy of the genetic code in two manners: having more than one tRNA (with a specific anti-codon) for a particular amino acid; and 'wobble' base-pairing, i.e. permitting non-standard base-pairing at the 3rd anti-codon position.
Source: RNAcentral